This 433-nucleotide ribosomal RNA is filed under the name uncultured bacterium. Its description in RNAcentral is "partial 16S ribosomal RNA". It matches the Rfam family "Bacterial small subunit ribosomal RNA", at positions 29 to 507 of the family's 1533-position model. The record is from RNAcentral.
AACGAACGCUGGCGGCAUGCCUAACACAUGCAAGUCGAACGAGCCCUUCGGGGCUAGUGGCGCACGGGUGCGUAACGCGUGGGUACGUGCUCUUAUGUGCGGAAUAACCCCCCGAAAGGGGGUAUAAUAGCGGACAAUCUCUUCGGACCAAAGAUUUAUCGGCUUAGGAUGGGCCCGCGUUGGAUUAGGUAGUUGGUAGGGUAAAAGCCUACCAAGGCGACGAUCCAUAGCUGGUCUGAGAGGAUGAUCAGCCACACUGGGACUGAGACACGGCCCAGACUCCUACGGGAGGCAGCAGUGGGGAAUAUUGGACAAUGGGCGAAAGCCUGAUCCAGCAAUGCCGCGUGAGUGAUGAAGGCCUUAGGGUUGUAAAGCUCUUUUACCCGGGAUGAUAAUGACAGUACCGGGAGAAUAAGCUCCGGCUAACUCCGUG